UCGAGUUACCGCUCUACAACCCUUUGUGAACAUACCUAACUGUUGCUUCGGCGGGCAGGGGGGUCCCCCCGGGGACGCCCCCUCCCGGCCCCGCCCCCCUACCAGGGGGACGUGGGCGCCCGCCGGAGGAUACCCAACUCUAUUUUAACGACGUUUCUUCUGAGUGGCACAAGCAAAUAAUUUA
Molecule: unclassified non-coding RNA, 184 nt
Filed under: soil metagenome
Description: partial internal transcribed spacer 1
Source: RNAcentral